Molecule: ribosomal RNA, 335 nt
Filed under: uncultured bacterium
Lineage: Bacteria
Description: bacterial SSU rRNA
Rfam family: Bacterial small subunit ribosomal RNA
Source: RNAcentral
GACGUGACUUCAGAGUUUGAUCCUGGCUCAGGACGAACGCUGGCGGCGUGCUUAACACAUGCAAGUCGAACGGUAAGGCCCUUUCGGGGGUACACGAGUGGCGAACGGGUGAGUAACACGUGGGUAAUCUGCCCUGCACUUCGGGAUAAGCCUGGGAAACUGGGUCUAAUACCGGAUAUGAGCUCUCACCGCAUGGUGGGGGUUGGAAAGUUUUUUCGGUGCAGGAUGAGCCCGCGGCCUAUCAGCUUGUUGGUGGGGUAAUGGCCUACCAAGGCGACGACGGGUAGCCGGCCUGAGAGGGUGAUCGGCCACACUGGGACUGAGACACGGCCCAG